GUGAGGAAUUUUCCGCAAUGGGCGAAAGCCUGACGGAGCAAUGCCGCGUGAAGGAUGAAGGCCUAUGGGUUGUAAACUUCUUUUCUCAGAAAAGAAUUAUGACGGUAUCUGAGGAAUAAGCAUCGGCUAACUCUGUGCCAGCAGCCGCGGUAAGACAGAGGAUGCAAGCGUUAUCCGGAAUGAUUGGGCGUAAAGCGUCUGUAGGUUGUUUAAAAAGUAUUCUGUCAAAGAUUAGGGCUUAACCCUAGAUAGGCAGAAUAAACUUUUAAGCUAGAGUUUGGUAGGGGCAGAGGGAAUUCCCGGUGGAGCGGUGAAAUGCGUAGAUAUCGGGAGGAACACCAAAGGCGAAGGCACUCUGCUGGGCCAAUACUAACACUGAGAGACGAAAGCGAGGGGAGCAAAUGGGAUUAGAAACCCGUGUAGUCC
This 426-nucleotide ribosomal RNA is filed under the name uncultured bacterium. Its description in RNAcentral is "bacterial SSU rRNA". It matches the Rfam family "Bacterial small subunit ribosomal RNA", at positions 354 to 796 of the family's 1533-position model. The record is from RNAcentral.